GUAGGGUGCAAGCGUUAAUCGGAAUUACUGGGCGUAAAGCGUGCGCAGGCGGUUUCGUAAGUCUGUCGUGAAAUCCCCGGGCUCAACCUGGGAAUGGCAUUUGGGACUGUAAGGCUGGAGUAUGGCAGAGGAGACUAGAAUUCCUGGUGUAGCAGUGAAAUGCGUAGAUAUCAGGAGGAAUACCGAUGGCGGAGGCAGGUCUCUGGGCCAAUACUGACGCUCAUGCACGAAAGCGUGGGGAGCAAACAGGAUUAGAUACCCUGGUAGUCCACGCCCUAAACGAUGUCAACUGGUUGUUGGGGGAUUUAUUCUCUUAGUAACGAAGCUAACGCGUGAAGUUGACCGCCUGGGGAGUACGGUCGCAAGAUUA
This 370-nucleotide ribosomal RNA is filed under the name uncultured bacterium. Its description in RNAcentral is "bacterial SSU rRNA". It matches the Rfam family "Bacterial small subunit ribosomal RNA", at positions 527 to 896 of the family's 1533-position model. The record is from RNAcentral.